GAGAUAUAGCUCAGCUGGUCAGAGCGUUCGGUUCACAUCCGAGAGGUCGAGGGUUCGAACCCCCCUAUCUCC
This 72-nucleotide transfer RNA is filed under the name bovine gut metagenome. It matches the Rfam family "tRNA". Rfam says of the family: Transfer RNA (tRNA) molecules are approximately 80 nucleotides in length. The record is from RNAcentral.